GACGAACGCUGGCGGCGUGCUUAACACAUGCAAGUCGAACGGUGAAGCGCCUUCCUUUUUGGUGGGUGUGGAUGAGUGGCGAACUGGUGAGUAACACGUUAGUAUCCUUCCCCCUCCUGCUGGAUAACCGCAUGAAAGUGCUGCUAACACGUGAUAUUCUGAGUCUGUUGCAUGAUGGGUCUGAGAAAGAUUUUGUUUCGGUUGGGGAUGGGCCCGCGGCGUAUUAGCUAGUUGGUGGGGUGAUGGCCUACCAAGGCGGCGAUGAAUAGCCGCCCUGAGAGGGGGGUGGGCCGUCCCGGAGGGAAGGAGCGGCGGACACUCCUACGAGGGGAGGCAGUAGGGAAGAUUCGGGCACGGUGGGCGGAAGGCUGAUGCAGCGCCGCCGCGGGAGUGAUGGACGCCGGCGGGUUGAGAACCGCUUUCGGGAGUGAAGAAAGGCUGCAGCGUCUGUGGGUAGCUUGACGGUAGCUGGAUAAGAAGCGCCGGCUAACUACGUG
Molecule: ribosomal RNA, 497 nt
Filed under: uncultured bacterium
Lineage: Bacteria
Description: partial 16S ribosomal RNA
Rfam family: Bacterial small subunit ribosomal RNA
Source: RNAcentral